Molecule: ribosomal RNA, 483 nt
Filed under: uncultured bacterium
Lineage: Bacteria
Description: partial 16S ribosomal RNA
Rfam family: Bacterial small subunit ribosomal RNA
Source: RNAcentral
AUUGAACGCUGGCGGCAUGCUUUACACAUGCAAGUCGAACGGCAGCGCGGGCUUCGGCCUGGCGGCGAGUGGCGAACGGGUGAGUAAUGCAUCGGAACGUGCCCAGUAGUGGGGGAUAGCCCGGCGAAAGCCGGAUUAAUACCGCAUACGACCUGAGGGUGAAAGCGGGGGACCGAAAGGCCUCGCGCUAUUGGAGCGGCCGAUGUCGGAUUAGCUAGUUGGUGGGGUAAAGGCUUACCAAGGCGACGAUCCGUAGCUGGUCUGAGAGGACGACCAGCCACACUGGGCAUGAGACACGGCCCAGACCCCUAGGGGAGGCCGCGGGGGGGAAUUUGGGCAAAGGGGGGAAACCCUGAUCCAGCCGGGCCGCGGGGGGGAAGAAGGCCUUCGGGUUGUAAACCGUUUUUGUUGGGGAAAAAAUCCUUUGGGCUAACCCCCCGGGGGGAUGCCGGUACGGGAAGAAUAAGCACCGGCUACCUACGU